Molecule: non-coding RNA, 30 nt
Filed under: Homo sapiens (human)
Lineage: Eukaryota; Metazoa; Chordata; Mammalia; Primates; Hominidae
Source: RNAcentral
GGGACAAGGACCUGGGUGCUGCAAACAGGA